Molecule: ribosomal RNA, 330 nt
Filed under: uncultured soil bacterium
Lineage: Bacteria
Description: bacterial SSU rRNA
Rfam family: Bacterial small subunit ribosomal RNA
Source: RNAcentral
AGAGUGAACGCUGGCGGUAGGCCUAACACAUGCAAGUCGAACGGCAGCACAGUGGUAGCAAUACCAUGGGUGGCGAGUGGCGGACGGGUGAGGAAUACAUCGGAAUCUACCUUUUCGUGGGGGAUAACGUAGGGAAACUUACGCUAAUACCGCAUACGCCCUUCGGGGGAAAGCCGGGGAUCGCAAGACCUGGCGCGGAUAGAUGAGCCGAUGUCGGAUUAGCUAGUUGGUGAGGUAAUGGCUCACCAAGGCGACGAUCCGUAGCUGGUCUGAGAGGAUGAUCAGCCACACUGGAACUGAGACACGGUCCAGACUCCUACGGGAGCAGCA